AUGAUGCAGCAACAGCAGCAGCAGCAGCAGCCUCUGCCGCCCCCUCCGCCGCAGCACCCGCCGCCGCAGCCCGGCGGCGGCGGCGGCGGGGACUUCUACCGCGGCCCGCUGCAGCCGCCGAUGCGGCAGCUCUCUGCGGCGUCCUCCACCAACCUCGCGCCCGACUACGCCGGCCACCCGGGACCCCAGCAGCACCAUCAGCAGCAGCAACAUCAACAGCAACAGCAGCAGCAGCCGUUCGACGCCUAUGGGGACAAUUUUGGCGCUAAGAGGAUGCGGAAGCCUGUCCAGCGACGAACAGUGGACUACACGAGCUCUCUCGUCCGUUAUGCUCAGGCUCGCAUGUGGCAGCGGGAUGCAAGGGACAGAUUCACGUUGCAGCCAACCGCAGCUGCUGUCCUGGAUAUGUUGCCUUCUGUUGCAUACCCAGACAACCCCUCUACAAGUUUUGCUGGGAAAUUUGUUCAUUCAUCUAUCAAUAAGAACCGGUGCUCCAUAAACUGUGUCGUGUGGACUCCUACAGGACGCCGGCUUAUUACUGGAUCACAGAGUGGUGAAUUCACCCUAUGGAAUGGGCAAUCUUUUAAUUUUGAAAUGAUUCUUCAGGCUCAUGAACAAGCCGUGAGAUCAAUGAUUUGGAGUCACAAUGAAAAUUGGAUGGUUACGGGCGACGAUGGUGGUGCAAUAAAGUAUUGGCAAAGUAACAUGAACAAUGUCAAAGUGAAUAAAACUGCACACAGAGAAUCAGUCCGUGACUUGAGCUUUUGUAGAACAGACCUGAAGUUCUGUUCAUGUUCUGAUGACACAACCGUGAAGGUUUGGGACUUCGCAAGAUGCCAAGAAGAAAGAUCCCUAACUGGCCAUGGUUGGGAUGUUAAAAGUGUCGAUUGGCAUCCCACAAAAUCUUUAUUAGCUUCAGGUGGGAAAGACUAUCUUGUAAAACUCUGGGAUGCAAAAAGUGGUAGGGAGCUACGUUCAUUCCAUGGUCAUAAAAAUAUUGUGCAGUGUGUAAAAUGGAAUCAGAAUGGGAACUGGGUUUUGACUGCGUCUAAGGAUCAGAUUAUCAAGUUAUAUGAUAUUAGAUCCAUGAAAGAACUUGAAUCCUUCCGUGGGCACAAUAAGGAUGUAACUGCUUUGGCAUGGCAUCCAUUCCAUGAAGAAUACUUUGUUAGUGGGAGCUAUGAUGGUGGAAUCUUUCAUUGGUUGGUCGGCCAUGAAGCCCCACAAAUUGAAAUAAAUAAUGCACAUGACAAUAGUGUGUGGGACCUUGCCUGGCAUCCAGUGGGCUAUCUACUUUCCAGUGGUGGCAAUGAUCAUGCUACAAGAUUCUGGUGUAGAAACAGGCCUGGCGAUCUUACCCGUGAUAAAUUCAACAGCGGACAGAUCCAAGGUUAUGGUGACCAACACUCUGCUUUUGCUGGUCGAUUCCAGAUGCCUGAACAAACACCUGGGCCAUUUGCUGGUACAAUACCUGGCAUUGGUGUUGCAAUGCAUCUUGAUGGAUCUGAUCAUGGAGAACAGAGGCCAUCUAUACCUGGUCUUCCACCUGGUCCGCCUCCGUUGCCACCAGGUCCUCAUCCAUCUCUUCUACCCACUGGGCAGCAGCAACACUAUCAACAGAUGCCUCAGCAGCAACAUUCUCAAUUUCGGCCACCGCCUCCAAAUAUGCCACCGCCAGCACACAUUCUUCAACAUCAACAAGGACCUCGAUCAUCACUUCCUCAGCUUCCAUCGAUGCCAGGUUCCAUGCCAGGGCCAUCACCAGUGAACCCACCGCUACCACCCAUGCCACACCCAAUGGCAAUGCAAGGUUCGUCAACCCAGAUGAUGCCUCAAAUGCCACAACACUUGAUUGGCCUGAACCAGAAUCAUCCGGGUUCCAUCCCUCCAGGCAAUAUGCCUCCAAUGGGCAGCUUCCCAAACGGAAUGGGAAACAUUCAAGGUUCCUCAGGUGCUUCGGGCAUGCAAAACUUUCCUAUGGGCGGUAUGUACAACCGGCCUCAGGGCCAGAUGGCUCCACAAGGACAGAUGUCAUCCAUUCCUGGUCUAGGUUCUUACCAAGGAUGGGCAAUGUUGGCCUUCCACCACCGCCGCCGCAGCAUCCUCCGCCUCGCGGUGCAGCACCACAGUGAAAUCUUGUAA
Molecule: ribosomal RNA, 2142 nt
Filed under: Triticum aestivum (bread wheat)
Lineage: Eukaryota; Viridiplantae; Streptophyta; Magnoliopsida; Poales; Poaceae
Description: partial small subunit ribosomal RNA
Source: RNAcentral